GAUGAACGCUGGCGGCGUGCCUAAUACAUGCAAGUCGAGCGAACGGACGAGAAGCUUGCUUCUCUGAUGUUAGCGGCGGACGGGUGAGUAACACGUGGAUAACCUACCUAUAAGACUGGGAUAACUUCGGGAAACCGGAGCUAAUACCGGAUAAUAUUUUGAACCGCAUGGUUCAAAAGUGAAAGACGGUCUUGCUGUCACUUAUAGAUGGAUCCGCGCUGCAUUAGCUAGUUGGUAAGGUAACGGCUUACCAAGUCAACGAUGCAUAGCCGACCUGAGAGGGUGAUCGGCCACAAGGGAACUGAGACACGGUCCAGACUCCUACGGGAGGCAGCAGUAGGGAAUCUUCCGCAAUGGGCGAAAGCCUGACGGAGCAACGCCGCGUGAGUGAUGAAGGUCUUCGGAUCGUAAAACUCUGUUAUUAGGGAAGAACAUAUGUGUAAGUAACUGUGCACAUCUUGACGGUACCUAAUCAGAAAGCCACGGCUAACUACGUG
Molecule: ribosomal RNA, 497 nt
Filed under: uncultured bacterium
Lineage: Bacteria
Description: partial 16S ribosomal RNA
Rfam family: Bacterial small subunit ribosomal RNA
Source: RNAcentral